GGGGCUGCGGCCGAGGCCGGGCGUGAGGAGCGGCCAAGCGCGCCGCGGGCGGAUGGAGUCGCUUCCCCGCCGCGCCUGAGCCGGUGCACAGAAGGGGCCGCGGGGCCGCGCUCUCCCCGCCAGAGCCGCAGCAUGGUUGACUAUAUUGUGGAAUAUGACUAUGAUGCUGUACAUGAUGAUGAGUUAACUAUCCGAGUUGGGGAAAUCAUCAGAAAUGUGAAAAAACUACAGGAAGAAGGAUGGCUAGAAGGAGAACUAAAUGGGAGACGAGGGAUGUUCCCUGACAAUUUUGUUAAGGAAAUUAAGCGAGAGACAGAACCCAAGGAUGACAAUUUGCCCAUCAAACGGGAAAGGCAAGGAAAUGUAGCAAGUCUUGUACAGCGAAUCAGCACUUAUGGACUUCCAGCUGGAGGAAUUCAGCCACAUCCACAAACCAAAGCUAUUAAGAAGAAGACAAAAAAGCGUCAGUGUAAAGUUCUUUUUGACUACUCUCCACAAAAUGAGGACGAACUGGAAUUGAUCGUGGGGGAUGUCAUUGACGUCAUUGAAGAGGUAGAAGAAGGCUGGUGGAGUGGAACCCUGAACAAUAAGUUGGGACUGUUUCCCUCAAACUUUGUGAAAGAAUUAGAGUCCACAGAGGAUGGUGAAACUCACAACGCUCAGGAGGAAUCAGAAGUUCCUUUGACUGGCCCUACCUCACCGUUGCCAUCUCCGGGGAAUGGGAGUGAACCUGCUCCCGGAUCAGUUGCACAGCCAAAGAAAAUCCGAGGAAUUGGAUUUGGAGACAUCUUUAAAGAAGGCUCUGUGAAACUUCGGACAAGAACUUCCAGUAGUGAAACAGAGGAGAAAAAAACAGAAAAGCCUUUAAUCCUACAGCCUCUGGGAUCUAGAACUCAGAAUGUGGAGGUAACAAAACCAGACGUUGAUGGCAAGAUUAAAGCUAAGGAAUAUUGUAGAACAUUAUUUCCCUAUACAGGAACCAAUGAAGAUGAACUUACAUUUAGAGAAGGGGAGAUUAUCCAUUUGAUAAGUAAGGAGACUGGAGAAGCAGGCUGGUGGAAGGGUGAACUGAACGGUAAAGAAGGAGUGUUUCCAGAUAACUUUGCUGUUCAGAUAAGUGAACUAGAUAAAGACUUUCCAAAACCAAAGAAACCACCUCCUCCUGCAAAAGGUCCAGCUCCAAAGCCUGACCUGUCAGCUGCAGAGAAGAAAGCUUUCCCUCUAAAGGCUGAAGAAAAAGAUGAAAAAUCACUGUUAGAACAGAAACCUUCUAAACCAGCUGCUCCUCAAGUCCCGCCCAAAAAGCCCACUGCACCCACCAAAGCCAGUAACUUACUGAGGUCGCCUGGAGCAGUGUACCCAAAGCGGCCAGAAAAGCCAGUCCCUCCGCCACCUCCAGCAGCCAAAAUUAAUGGAGAAGUUUCUAUAAUUUCUUCAAAGAUUGAUACUGAGCCAGUAUCAAAACCAAAGCUAGAUCCUGAACAAUUGCCAGUUAGACCAAAAUCAGUAGACCUUGAUGCCUUUGUAGCCAGGAACUCAAAAGAAACAGAUUUUGUUUCCUAGCCUGUUUGCCAUGUUUCCUCCCUUCUUACGUGUCAGGAAAUUAUCCUACCCUUCUCCAUUUUGAUGAUGUAAAUUUUGAUGACAUAGCUUCCUCAGAGAACUUGUUACAUCUCACUGCUAAUAGACCCAAGAUGCCUGGAAGACGAUUGCCUGGCCGCUUCAACGGUGGACAUUCUCCAACCCAAAGCCCAGAAAAAACCUUGAAGCUACCAAAAGAAGAUGAUAGUGGCAACCUAAAGCCUUUGGAGUUUAAAAAGGAUGCAAGCUACUCUUCAAAGUCAUCUCUUUCAACACCUUCAAGUGCUUCUAAAGUAAAUACAGCUGCUUUCCUAACUCCGUUAGAACUCAAAGCUAAAGCAGAAGCAGAUGAUGGGAAAAGAAAUUCCGUGGACGAACUUAGAGCCCAGAUUAUUGAAUUGUUGUGUAUUGUAGAUGCACUGAAAAAGGAUCAUGGGAAAGAACUGGAAAAGCUACGCAAAGAAUUAGAAGAAGAGAAGGCCAUGCGAAGUAAUCUAGAGGUGGAAAUAGCAAAGCUGAAGAAAGCUGUUCUGUUGUCUUGAGGUGGUGUGGACCCAGUGUUCCUAAUGAUUCAUGAACUUAACUGACUUGUUAAAGACAGCAGAAAUGGUGGUGUGAUGAAGAAAUAAGAGGACAUAAACUGUGACAUCUACCGAAAAGUUGGGGGUGACAGGUUUUUUUUAUAUAUUUUGUUUUGCCAAUAUGAAAAAAAAGAAGAGGCCUUAUUUCUUACUGUGCUGGGAUUGCAAACAUUUCUAUUGUUUGCUUAAAUACUACUGAAUCUGUAUAAAAAGGAAAGAAAGUUCAUAAUAGUUUUUUUAUUGAAACUUGUAUUAUUUUUAAAGAGUUCUAUACUAUAAAUAUCGUAAUAUCUUUACAAAUAAGCUGUAAGAUAAACUAUUUGAGAAGGACGGGUUAGCUUUAUAGUAGAGUCACUGCUUUCCUGUACUGCAUAGGGCAUGAACUUGUAUACAUACACUACACCACACACACACACACACACACACACACACACACACACACACAGACACUUUCCUUUUAGCUUCUUACCCAGGAUUACACUGCUGUGCCUGUUUGUCUGCAGUGCUGUUUGUACAUUGGGUGAUAAAAUAGGAGUUCCUAGUUACUAGGUUCCUCACCCAUGCAUAUUUAAUCAUUAAUGAAAUAAUAACAAUCCAAAUUCUAGAGUGUUCUAUAAUGCUCACUAUAGGAUUCAUUAAAGGAAGCUAUUUAAAUUGUACUGGAUUAAUCUUGAGAAAAUAGGAGCUUUGUUCUAAAUUCAUGUGGCCUAAGAAAUCUAAAACUGUCAUGCUAAUUCUUAUUUGUGCCUAGACACCGCAGCACAUGUGGAAUAUGUAAACACCAGCCAUAUUGUUAUAUUCUUAUGCUCAUUCUACAGUCUUAAAUAUUACUCAUUUCAUUAUCUUGUAUUCAUUGUACCCUUCCUUUAAUUUUCACUAAUGAUAAUCUUAGGAAACAAACCUAAACCCAGAUAUUUUCAGAAUUCCAGAAUGAGGUUCUAUAUUGGAAAGCUAUUGUGUAAACACUCAGGUUUUACAGGCAUAAUUUAUCGAAUAGAACAAACUAAGUCCUAGAGAUAUUUUGGACUGUUACUUAGGUAAAGUGAAAAAGAGUAUUAGUAAUUGACCAUAUUGAAGAUCAUUCCACAAUGGAUGUUGAGCCAUUUAUUUAGCAUCACAAUCAACAGUUGAACAUCUUAGACUGGCUCAGCCACUAUCAGGGCGGUAUGGCUACAGACCAAGUGAACAUAAAAAUGUUGUAUCUGUAGGGCGACAUGUUUAAAAACACAAAGGUUAAUUUUAAAAAGUGAAAUGUUUUUAUUUGUUAAAAAAAAGUUAGGUUUUAAGCUUUACUUUAGAAAAUGAAUGUCAGAUUGUAAAUUAUCAUGCUUAAAAAAACAAUACAUUUUCUUUACAUUUUAAUCUUAAAAUAGAAAAAAAAUUAAAGUCAGAUUUCUUGUGUUAUUUCAAGUAAAAUAGAGCUGAAGUAGAAAAUAAUAGAAUGCCAGCACAAGGUUACACUUGAUUAGAUUCUGGGGAGAGCUAAUUGUACAUAGAGUGUACAUUGUAGGUGUUUUGACACAGGAACUUAUAUAUCCCAGGCUGGACUUAACCUUGUGAUAUAGCAAAAUUGUCUUAAACUUCCGGUUUCCCUGCCUCUGCCUCCCAAGUGCUAGGAUGACAGGCAUGCCCAGUGUGCCUAGCCUUUUUAACCAUUUCAACUCUGAGCUCAUCUAAUGAGAGGUUACUGAUGACCAAACUUCUCCAUUUUAUUUUUAAGUGAUUAGUCAAAUGAAGUAUUUGCUUCUUAUUAAUGUAAUGACAGUCCUCAGAUGACAGUGGCCUUACCCUAAGUAUCAUCUCCUACUUCCCCCACAUUUUAGAAAUGAUCUCCUGCAUUCCCAAAGGGAGGUUUGUCUCCACCCACACUGCUGGGAGGGAAAGGUCUAAUAACAGUAAAAAGUAACAUACACAGUCAACAGUAGGGGAGUGACUAUGCUUUCUGGACAAAUAGGUAACCCAUAGAUACUAGUUAAAAUGUAAGAAAUUAGAAAAGCAGAUAACUAACAGAAAAGUGAGUUUAUGUGUUAUAAACACAAAUAAGAAAAACAGAAGCACAGCCCCUUAUUGUAUACUAAGUUUUCCUUUGCAGUUUGGCUCCUUCCUGACCCACUGUGUCACAACCUGACAGGCGAUCUCAGCCCCAGGAGCACAUGUAGUUUAAUGCUUGUAUGCUAUUUAAAGGUCCAUUUGAGCCACGUGUAGUGAUGACAUGCCUGUAACUUGGAGAUUUGGGGAGAGAAACCAUGAGUUUGAGGCCAGCCUGUGCUGUAUAGGGGCCCUAUAUCCACAAGAAAGGAAACAGCGUUCCUUUGGUGGCGGUGGGUAUUUUUAGUCCACACAAUCAGAGUAGCCAUGAGUCAUCCCUACACACUUUUGCCAUCUCAGUCAGAAUAGAGAAGUCAUACUGUCUGUUUUCUAUAUGUCUAUUUUAUGCCCUUUACAAAAUAGUUCAGAAAAAAAACCAAACAAGCUUGAACUUAAUUAAAGGGAAAAAUAAUUCCUUUAAAAGAGUAAUUUGCCAGUAUUUGCCCUUGAUAUGGGAACUUUUACUAUUUCUAAAGUUAAAGUCAGAAAAUGAUUAAUAACAACAACAACUUUACUUAGAGGUAAAUCCCUCUUCCCCCAAUAUUAGUAUAAAAGACAGCAUUGAAUCUGUCAUUGCCAAAUUAUUAGUGAAUGUAUAGUUCAGAUUUGCUAGUCUUUGAAACACAGCACUCCUAAGUUUCUAACAGGAUUCCAAUGUUAUUUUGGUGUGUUUGUGACCACUAAGCUUGCUUCUUACUAUAAAGGUAUUACCUCUAUACAACUGUACAGGACUUCACAGAAAAUCAGAAGAUGCAGAGAGAGUGGGCCCGGUCUUAACAGAGGACUCCUUACACUCCUAACUGUGAUCACAGACAAGAAAUACCUUCCGAAGUGCUCUGUAGAUUUUUUUGAUGAAUGUUUUAUGCUUGCAUUUAAACUUGAAAUGUAUGAGCAGAAUGAGACAAUCUUUACAAUCAGAAUUGAGAAGUGUUACAAUUGAAUGGCCUUGUGCUGUAGCAAUAAAAUGACCAAGUGCAAUGACUUUAAUAAAAUCAUCUUUCAAACGUUGCUGCUAUUAAUAUUUUUAGUUAACAAAAUUCUGUCGUUUAGCCUACCUUGCCUUCUGUUUGUUAACUGUUAUGUGAUACAGUUGAUGUUUUGACAAUCUAACAUUCCAAAGUCCACAUAUAUAUCUUAAAAGUCUUAGAAUAGUAUAUUCAUUUUUUUUUACAGGUGCUGUUAAAAAAGGAAAUGAAAGCAUGCUUUUCCCUCAAAAAGAAAAAUUAAUAAUAAAAGAGAACUGUGCUGCC
RNA transcript from Mus musculus (house mouse), 5500 nucleotides. It is a transcript of the gene named CD2-associated protein, with no coding region annotated. The record is from RefSeq and is marked validated. The transcript is spliced from 19 exons. NCBI's taxonomy places the organism in Eukaryota, Metazoa, Chordata, Mammalia, Rodentia, Muridae.